UAGAUAGAAGCCUGUUGGUUAGGGCACCUGGCUGUUAACCAGGUGAUCAUGGGAUCGAGGCCCAUCUGUCUAG
Molecule: transfer RNA, 73 nt
Filed under: Treron curvirostra
Lineage: Eukaryota; Metazoa; Chordata; Aves; Columbiformes; Columbidae
Description: tRNA-Asn
Rfam family: tRNA
About the family: Transfer RNA (tRNA) molecules are approximately 80 nucleotides in length. Their secondary structure includes four short double-helical elements and three loops (D, anti-codon, and T loops). Further hydrogen bonds mediate the characteristic L-shaped molecular structure. tRNAs have two regions of fundamental functional importance: the anti-codon, which is responsible for specific mRNA codon recognition, and the 3' end, to which the tRNAs corresponding amino acid is attached (by aminoacyl-tRNA synthetases). tRNAs cope with the degeneracy of the genetic code in two manners: having more than one tRNA (with a specific anti-codon) for a particular amino acid; and 'wobble' base-pairing, i.e. permitting non-standard base-pairing at the 3rd anti-codon position.
Source: RNAcentral